ACUCAGGUGUUGUUGGGUAGGGGAGCGUUCUGUAAGCCUGUGAAGGUGUGUCGUGAGGCAUGCUGGAGGUAUCAGAAGUGCGAAUGCUGACAUAAGUAACGAUAAAGCGGGUGAAAAGCCCGCUCGCCGGAAGACCAAGGGUUCCUGUCCAACGUUAAUCGGGGCAGGGUGAGUCGACCCCUAAGGCGAGGCCGAAAGGCGUAGUCGAUGGGAAACGGGUUAAUAUUCCCGUACUUGGUGUUACUGCGAAGGGGGGACGGAGAAGGCUAUGUUGGCCGGGCGACGGUUGUCCCGGUUUAAGCGUGUAGGUGUGUGUUCCAGGUAAAUCCGGUUCACUUUAACACUGAGGCGUGACGACGAGGCACUACGGUGCUGAAGCAACAAAUGCCCUGCUUCCAGGAAAAGCCUCUAAGCAUCAGGUAACAUCAAAUCGUACCCCAAACCGACACAGGUGGUCAGGUAGAGAAUACCAAGGCGCUUGAGAGAACUCGGGUGAAGGAACUAGGCAAAAUGGUGCCGUAACUUCGGGAGAAGGCACGCUGACACGUAGGUGAAGUGAUUUACUCAUGGAGCUGAAGUCAGUCGAAGAUACCAGCUGGCUGCAACUGUUUAUUAAAAACACAGCACUGUGCAAACACGAAAGUGGACGUAUACGGUGUGACGCCUGCCCGGUGCCGGAAGGUUAAUUGAUGGGGUCAGCGCAAGCGAAGCUCCUGAUCGAAGCCCCGGUAAACGGCGGCCGUAACUAUAACGGUCCUAAGGUAGCGAAAUUCCUUGUCGGGUAAGUUCCGACCUGCACGAAUGGCGUAAUGAUGGCCAGGCUGUCUCCACCCGAGACUCAGUGAAAUUGAACUCGCUGUGAAGAUGCAGUGUACCCGCGGCAAGACGGAAAGACCCCGUGAACCUUUACUAUAGCUUGACACUGAACAUUGAGCCUUGAUGUGUAG
RNAcentral lists this ribosomal RNA (947 nucleotides) under Salmonella enterica. Its description in RNAcentral is "partial 23S ribosomal RNA". It matches the Rfam family "Bacterial large subunit ribosomal RNA", at positions 1211 to 2141 of the family's 2925-position model. RNAcentral also lists the same sequence under 1 other name. The record is from RNAcentral. Lineage: Bacteria; Pseudomonadati; Pseudomonadota; Gammaproteobacteria; Enterobacterales; Enterobacteriaceae.